This 611-nucleotide ribosomal RNA is filed under the name Salmonella enterica. RNAcentral's name for it is "partial 23S ribosomal RNA". It matches the Rfam family "Bacterial large subunit ribosomal RNA", at positions 711 to 1318 of the family's 2925-position model. The record is from RNAcentral. Lineage: Bacteria; Pseudomonadati; Pseudomonadota; Gammaproteobacteria; Enterobacterales; Enterobacteriaceae. RNAcentral also lists the same sequence under 2 other names.
AGACCCGAAACCCGGUGAUCUAGCCAUGGGCAGGUUGAAGGUUGGGUAACACUAACUGGAGGACCGAACCGACUAAUGUUGAAAAAUUAGCGGAUGACCUGUGGCUGGGGGUGAAAGGCCAAUCAAACCGGGAGAUAGCUGGUUCUCCCCGAAAGCUAUUUAGGUAGCGCCUCGUGAAUUCAUCUCCGGGGGUAGAGCACUGUUUCGGCUAGGGGGCCAUCCCGGCUUACCAACCCGAUGCAAACUGCGAAUACCGGAGAAUGUUAUCACGGGAGACACACGGCGGGUGCUAACGUCCGUCGUGAAGAGGGAAACAACCCAGACCGCCAGCUAAGGUCCCAAAGUCAUGGUUAAGUGGGAAACGAUGUGGGAAGGCCCAGACAGCCAGGAUGUUGGCUUAGAAGCAGCCAUCAUUUAAAGAAAGCGUAAUAGCUCACUGGUCGAGUCGGCCUGCGCGGAAGAUGUAACGGGGCUAAACCAUGCACCGAAGCUGCGGCAGCGACGCUUAUGCGUUGUUGGGUAGGGGAGCGUUCUGUAAGCCUGUGAAGGUGGCCUGUGAGGGUUGCUGGAGGUAUCAGAAGUGCGAAUGCUGACAUAAGUAACGAUAAAGC